UCUCUGGUGGCUCAGACAGUAAAGAAUCUGCCUGCAAUGCAGGAGACCCAGGUUCAACCCCUGGGUUGAGAC
RNAcentral lists this transfer RNA (72 nucleotides) under Ovis aries (sheep). It matches the Rfam family "tRNA". Rfam says of the family: Transfer RNA (tRNA) molecules are approximately 80 nucleotides in length. Their secondary structure includes four short double-helical elements and three loops (D, anti-codon, and T loops). Lineage: Eukaryota; Metazoa; Chordata; Mammalia; Artiodactyla; Bovidae. The record is from Rfam by way of RNAcentral.